Molecule: small nuclear RNA, 107 nt
Organism: Psammomys obesus (fat sand rat)
Lineage: Eukaryota; Metazoa; Chordata; Mammalia; Rodentia; Muridae
Source: RefSeq, a predicted model, not a curated record
GUGCUCACUUUGGCAGCACAUAUACUAACAUCAGGAUGAAACAAAGAAGAUUAGCAAGGCCCCUGCACAAGGACGACAUGCAAAUUCAUGAAGCGUUCCAUAGUUUU